This 1355-nucleotide ribosomal RNA is filed under the name uncultured bacterium. RNAcentral's name for it is "bacterial SSU rRNA". It matches the Rfam family "Bacterial small subunit ribosomal RNA", at positions 28 to 1381 of the family's 1533-position model. The record is from RNAcentral.
AUUGAACGCUGGCGGCAGGCUUAACACAUGCAAGUCGAACGAUGAUUAUCUAGCUUGCUAGAUAUGAUUAGUGGCGGACGGGUGAGUAACAUUUAGGAAUCUGCCUAGUAGUGGGGGAUAGCUCGGGGAAACUCGAAUUAAUACCGCAUACGACCUACGGGUGAAAGGGGGCGCAAGCUCUUGCUAUUAGAUGAGCCUAAAUCAGAUUAGCUAGUUGGUGGGGUAAAGGCCCACCAAGGCGACGAUCUGUAACUGGUCUGAGAGGAUGAUCAGUCACACCGGAACUGAGACACGGUCCGGACUCCUACGGGAGGCAGCAGUGGGGAAUAUUGGACAAUGGGGGCAACCCUGAUCCAGCCAUGCCGCGUGUGUGAAGAAGGCCUUUUGGUUGUAAAGCACUUUAAGCAGGGAGGAGAGGCUAAUGGUUAAUACCCAUUAGAUUAGACGUUACCUGCAGAAUAAGCACCGGCUAACUCUGUGCCAGCAGCCGCGGUAAUACAGAGGGUGCGAGCGUUAAUCGGAAUUACUGGGCGUAAAGCGAGUGUAGGUGGCUCAUUAAGUCACAUGUGAAAUCCCCGGGCUUAACCUGGGAACUGCAUGUGAUACUGGUGGUGCUAGAAUAUGUGAGAGGGAAGUAGAAUUCCAGGUGUAGCGGUGAAAUGCGUAGAGAUCUGGAGGAAUACCGAUGGCGAAGGCAGCUUCCUGGCAUAAUAUUGACACUGAGAUUCGAAAGCGUGGGUAGCAAACAGGAUUAGAUACCCUGGUAGUCCACGCCGUAAACGAUGUCUACUAGCCGUUGGGGUCCUUGAGACUUUAGUGGCGCAGUUAACGCGAUAAGUAGACCGCCUGGGGAGUACGGCCGCAAGGUUAAAACUCAAAUGAAUUGACGGGGGCCCGCACAAGCGGUGGAGCAUGUGGUUUAAUUCGAUGCAACGCGAAGAACCUUACCUGGUCUUGACAUAGUGAGAAUCCUGCAGAGAUGCGGGAGUGCCUUCGGGAAUUCACAUACAGGUGCUGCAUGGCUGUCGUCAGCCCGUGUCGUGAGAUGUUGGGUUAAGUCCCGCAACGAGCGCAACCCUUUUCCUUAUUUGCCAGCGGGUUAAGCCGGGAACUUUAAGGAUACUGCCAGUGACAAACUGGAGGAAGGCGGGGACGACGUCAAGUCAUCAUGGCCCUUACGACCAGGGCUACACACGUGCUACAAUGGUAGGUACAGAGGGUUGCUACACAGCGAUGCGAUGCUAAUCUCAAAAAGCCUAUCGUAGUCCGGAUUGGAGUCUGCAACUCGACUCCAUGAAGUCGGAAUCGCUAGUAAUCGCAGAUCAGAAUGCUGCGGUGAAUACGUUCCCGGGCCU